This 501-nucleotide ribosomal RNA is filed under the name uncultured Nakamurella sp. Its description in RNAcentral is "bacterial SSU rRNA". It matches the Rfam family "Bacterial small subunit ribosomal RNA", at positions 521 to 1020 of the family's 1533-position model. Lineage: Bacteria; Bacillati; Actinomycetota; Actinomycetes; Nakamurellales; Nakamurellaceae. The record is from RNAcentral.
UAAUACACAGGGUGCAAGCGUUGUCCGGAAUUAUUGGGCGUAAAGAGCUCGUAGGUGGUUCGUAACGUCGGAUGUGAAACUCUGGGGCUUAACCCCAGACCUGCAUUCGAUACGGGCGGGCUUGAGUAUGGUAGGGGAGUCUGGAAUUCCUGGUGUAGCGGUGGAAUGCGCAGAUAUCAGGAGGAACACCAAUGGCGAAGGCAGGACUCUGGGCCAUUACUGACACUGAGGAGCGAAAGCGUGGGGAGCGAACAGGAUUAGAUACCCUGGUAGUCCACGCCGUAAACGGUGGGCACUAGUUGUGGGGACCUUCCACGGUCUCUGCGACGCAGCUAACGCAUUAAGUGCCCCGCCUGGGGAGUACGAUCGCAAGGUUAAAACUCAAAGGAAUUGACGGGGCCCGCACAAGCAGCGGAGCAUGCGGCUUAAUUCGACGCAACGCGAAGAACCUUACCAAGGCUUGACAUAUACAGGAAUAUGGCAGAGAUGUCAUAGCCGCAA